UGGGAAGAAUGCCAAGGGCCCACAUGCUA
Molecule: non-coding RNA, 29 nt
Filed under: Homo sapiens (human)
Lineage: Eukaryota; Metazoa; Chordata; Mammalia; Primates; Hominidae
Source: RNAcentral